AGUAUAGAGCUGCUCAAUAAACAGAAGUAAAACAACUGAGUUUCAUAUACAUAGUCCAAGUCCAAAAUACAGAGUUACUCACACUGGCGAGUUAAGUAAGCUAUGUAUACAACUCGAAACAAAACAUUUACCUACAGCAGGGAUGCCUCUAGCUCUGUCGAUCGGGUAGGGCUCUAACUCGCGACGCCCUUGCCUCGAUCCUGGUCUGCGGAAGGCGCAGCAGCCGAAACCUGUGGCUCUGCAAAACAGGAGUAACAACUGGGCGUGAGAACUACUGUAAAAAUAAGUAGUCCUCAGUGGGUGCCGCCCAAACAACAUCGGUCCACCCACUAAGUCUACAGAAGGGAGCAAAGGUAGAAGUAAAUGCUGGAAUAAAAUCUACAGCUACUAAUUACUACCCUAUCGUGCUCUAGCUAACCAACUGUAGGAAAUGUCAACACUGANUCGCGUACAAGCUGAAAUACCCACGGUCGACGGUGAAUUUCAGCAAAACAGCAUUUCGAGUAGAAGUAGCAGAAUCAGCUGAAACCUCGAAGGAAUUGGAGAAUAGCUCACCACACCCGCUGUCCAACUCCGGUGCGUCGACGAUAACAGCAACGACUCGCGCUCGCACAGCUUCCUCGCGCUGCCCCGACGUCAAGUACGUGCUCGAUCGGUUCCGCGGCGCGACGUCGACGGCGAAAUCUCUCCGCGGCACUCCUCAAGCUUGUCCCCUGCUUCAGUCGCACGAGAAAGAGAGAGAAACGAGAGACUUAAUUAGUGAAGUGCAUGCACACCCUCCUUAAUUAAACAGAUAUGCAUGCAAUGGGAGGGGGUGUACGUGCAAGUUGCUAAGCACAUGCAUGUUGAUAAGCAUGCAUGGGUACACGUGGCUCCAAGCCACCAUAAUUAGUAUGCAACCCACUCAAAGAAACUAAU
RNAcentral lists this long non-coding RNA (918 nucleotides) under Ananas comosus (pineapple). RNAcentral describes it as "long non-coding RNA (ACOM_LNC014894)". Lineage: Eukaryota; Viridiplantae; Streptophyta; Magnoliopsida; Poales; Bromeliaceae. The record is from RNAcentral.